AGGUGAAAAGCACUUCGAACAGAAGAGUGAAAUAGUCCCUGAACCCAUACGCCUACAAGCAGUCGGAGCCGCUUCGUGCGGUGACGGCGUGCCUUUUGCAUAAUGAGCCUACGAGUUACUCAUCACCAGCGAGGUUAAGUACUUCAGGUACGUAAGCCGAAGCGAAAGCGAGUCUGAAUAGGGCGUCAAGUUGGUGGUGGUAGACGCGAAACCUUAGUGAUCUACCCAUGGGCAGGGUGAAGGUUUGGUAACACAAACUGGAGGCCCGAACCGGUAAACGUUGAAAAGUUUUCGGAUGACCUGUGGGUAGGGGUGAAAGGCCAAUCAAACUGGGAAAUAGCUCGUACUCUCCGAAAUGCAUUUAGGUGCAGCCUCUGUUGUUUUGUUCUAGAGGUAGAGCUACUGAUUGGAUGCGAGGGCUUCACCGCCUAUCAAAUCCGGCCAAACUCCGAAUGCUAGAACAUAAAGACAGGGAGUGAGCCAGCGGGUGCUAAGGUCCGUUGACGAAAGAGGGAGAACUCAGACCAUCAGCUAAGGUCCCCAAUUAUAUGCUAAGUUGGAAUAAAAACGGGGUGGGACUGCUUAGACAGCUAGGAUGUUGGCUUGGAAGCAGCCAUUCAUUUAAAGAGUGCGUAACAGCUCACUAGUCGAGCGGUCCUGCAUGGAUAAUACGCGGGCAUAAGCAUAUAACCGAAGCUAUGGGAUUGUAGAUGAUACAAUCGGUAGGAGAGCAUUCCAUUCAGCAUAGAAGCAGUACCGUGAGGUAUUGUGGAGCGGAUGGAAAAGCAAAUGUAGGCAUAAGUAACGAUAAUGCGGGUGAGAACCCCGCACGCCGAAAGAUCAAGGAUUCCCCGGCAAUGUCAAUCAUCCGGGGGUAAGUCGGAUCCUAAGGGUAAGCCGAGUGGCGAUCCCGAUGGUAAACAGGUUAAUAUUCCUGUACUGAUCAUAACUGCGAUGCAGCGACGCAGAGGUGACACUGCUGCGUACUGACGGAAUAGUACGUUGAAACCCGUAUUCUUUGAUACCGGUAGUGAAGCACGCCGGUAGAGAUGAAAGGUGAUAGUACCGCAAUGCUUCGGUUGCGCGGAUAAUGCAGGUAAGCUGACUGCCAAGAAAACCUGCUAAGCUUCAGGUAAUGAUCAUCCGUACUGUAAACGGACACACGUGAUCAGGUAGAAAAUACUAAGGCGCUCGAGAGAUUCAUGGUUAAGGAACUAGGCAAAAUGGUCCUGUAACUUCGGGAUAAAGGACGCUCUUGUGAAAGAGCCGCAGAUAAUAGGCCCAGGCGACUGUUUACCAAAAACACAUGGCUAUGCUAAUUCGCAAGAAGAUGUAUAUGGCCUGACACCUGCCCGGUGCCGGAAGGUUAAGAGGAGAGCUCAGAGGUAACUCGAAGGUUUGAAUUGAAGCCCCGGUAAACGGCGGCCGUAACUAUAACGGUCCUAAGGUAGCGAAAUUCCUUGUCGGGUAAGUUCCGACCUGCACGAAUGGUGUAACGAUCUGGGUACUGUCUCAACCAUGAGCUCGGUGAAAUUGUAGUUCCGGUGAAGAUGCCGGAUACCCGCAACGGGACGGAAAGACCCCGUGAACCUUUACUGCAGCUUUGCAUUGAUUUUGGGUAACAGAUGUGUAGGAUAGGUCGGAGGCUUUGAUGCUGCGUCGUCAGGCGUAGAGUAGCCGUCGUUGAAAUACGACCCUUUUGUUAUCUGAGGUCUAAUCCCGUUAGGGAGACAUUGCAUGGUGGGUAGUUUGACUGGGGUGGUCGCCUCCAAAAGUGUAACGGAGGCUUCUCAAGGUACCCUCAAGGCGUUUGGUAAUCGUCUGCAGAGUGCAAUGGCAUAAGGGUGCUUGACUGUGAGACCGACACGUCGAUCAGGUUGGAAACAAGAGCAUAGUGAUCCGGUGGUUCCGCAUGGAAGGGCCAUCGCU
This 1929-nucleotide ribosomal RNA is filed under the name human gut metagenome. RNAcentral's name for it is "bacterial LSU rRNA". It matches the Rfam family "Bacterial large subunit ribosomal RNA", at positions 512 to 2449 of the family's 2925-position model. The record is from RNAcentral.